GCAGUCGACGAGACUUGUCUAGUAGCAAUACCGGACAAGUCUAGUGGCGCACGGGUGAGUAACACGUGAGCAACCUGCCCUGAAGUGGGGGAUAGCUUGCCGAAAGGCAAAUUAAUACCGCAUGUGGUGGUAACACUAAAGCAGCAAUGCGCUUCAGGAUGGGCUCGCGGCCUAUCAGCUUGUUGGUAAGGUAACGGCUUACCAAGGCUACGACGGGUAACUGAUUUGAGAGGAUGAUCAGUCACACUGGAACUGAGACACGGUCCAGACACCUACGGGUGGCAGCAGUCGAGAAUCAUUCGCAAUGGGGGAAACCCUGACGGUGCGACGCCGCGUGGAGGAUGACGGCCUUAGGGUUGUAAACUCCUGUCAUGAGGGAGCAAAGCUCUUCGGAGCCUGAUAGUACCUCAAGAGGAAGGAACGGCAAACUCUGUGCCAGCAGCCGCGGUAAUACAGAGGUUCCAAGCGUUGUUCGGAUUCAUUGGGCGUAAAGGGUGCGUAGGUGGCGUGGUAAGUCAAAUGUGAAAUUUCGGAGCUCAACUCCGAACUGCAUUCGAUACUGCCAUGCUAGAGGACUGGAGAGGAGAUUGGAAUUCACGGUGUAGCAGUGAAAUGCGUAGAUAUCGUGAGGAAGACCAGUGGCGAAGGCGGAUCUCUGGACAGUUCCUGACGCUGAGGCACGAAGGCUAGGGUAGCGAACGGGAUUAGAUACCCUGGUA
RNAcentral lists this ribosomal RNA (719 nucleotides) under uncultured bacterium. RNAcentral describes it as "bacterial SSU rRNA". It matches the Rfam family "Bacterial small subunit ribosomal RNA", at positions 57 to 792 of the family's 1533-position model. The record is from RNAcentral.